This 2279-nucleotide long non-coding RNA is filed under the name Homo sapiens (human). RNAcentral describes it as "PREDICTED lncRNA (TCONS_00119413)". Lineage: Eukaryota; Metazoa; Chordata; Mammalia; Primates; Hominidae. The record is from RNAcentral.
GCGCCUUCGCGGCGGGCGAUGUUAGUGGGCUUGGGCGUUGGGUGAAGUAUCCAGGUUGGGCGCUUCCAGCGCUUUCUGUGGCGGGGGAAUGAAGGCCUAGGUCAGGGAAUAGGAAGGUGUAUCGCCGCCAGAGUGCGGAACACCCUCGCCUUGAGGGUUCCCACAGUGACUUGCAAAAGUCUAGUGAGACCCGAGAAUGCUGAGGCGGGACACGAAGCAUGUGGUUCUUGUGGUUGCGACGCUCGUGCCGCCAUCUUGGGUGCUGGCGGCGGAAACCGGUACCCCAACUUCCCCUCGGUGCGAACCUGGAGAAGCCACCCCAGCUGUGAGGGACGGUUGCGCCUCAUGGCCCAGGCAAGGGUACCUUCGCUGGAGCAGUACCGCGGACGGAUAUCAUGAGGGUGGUGGGACGUUGGCGGAACGUUGGCGGAACGUUGGCGGUGUGAGAGGCUGGACUGGAACUCCUGGACUCAAGCGAUCUUUCCAUUUAUCAGGGACUACUGACGCGUGUCUCCCAAUAAAUACCUGAGUAUAAACAACAUGAGGACUAGAAUUUUGUGCGUUAACUGUUAUAACUUAGUAGACACUCAAAUACUGAGUACUUGAAGGGGGACUCAAGCAGGCAGGCCUCUGAUUUUCCUGUUAAAAGCAGAAAUUAACCACACCUUGGAGGAUGUACAGUUUUGAAGGAUAUGGCAUGUUAACAAUAAAAUAGGAGACCAUUCAGUCCCCGAAGUAGUGAGACAAUGAAGAUAAAGACUGGUAUUGUAUAAGAAAGGAGGAAUAUUUAGGUGUGGCCAUCAACUCUAAAAAUAAAUAAGGUUGAGAAGGAAGUAUUUUAAACAUAGAACUGGGCCCGGCGCAGUGGCUCACAGUAGCACCUUGGGAGGCCGAGGCGGGAGGAUUGCUUGACCAGCCUGGGCAGCAUAGUGAGACCCCCGUCGCUACAAAAAAACAAGCUGGGCUUGGUGCCACACAUCUAUAGUCCCAACUACUCAGGAGGCUGAGGUGGGAGGAUUUCUUGAGCUGGGAGAUUGAGGCUGCAGUGAGCUAUGAUGGUGCCAGUCUGGGCAACAGUGAGAUGCUUCCUCAACAAAACAAAACAUAAAAUUGAGAGAUAUAAAGGCUCAACUACAGUGUUUAACUACAAGACAAUUUUGAGAAGGUGAAAAGAGCAUACUAAAGUUGGUCUUUUUUUGACAGAAAAAUACAGAACAAUUUUCAGUCCUAACAGUUCAAACUAAAACUGGACAAUCGUUUAUCUGUGGAGUUUCCUGCUUAGCCAUUUCACAAAGGUGGGCAGAAAAAGGGAAAGAGUUGCAAGGGCCGAAGAGAGUAAAGGUGUAGAGACAAACUCAGUCGCAACAGCAGGCCUAGGCCUGGCAGGGUGUGGGCGCCCAGGAUAUUUGAUGCUCCAUGGAAGGGAGUGGAGACAGAAAGACUGUCUUCCAUUCUGUCUAGAGUUCCAGAUCAAGUCUGAGCAGGUGCAAGCUUUCCCAGAACCUGCUGAUUAACCUUGUAAAACCCAGGGUGUGUCCUUCUUCACCCAGGAAGCCACCCCCUCCUUUCCCCCAACACUCUCCCCCUCCCUUUGCCUGGGACAGCUGUUAAUAGGACAGUUACCCAAGAAGCAAAAGAAGGAUCCCAUGCUGAUGUGUCAUCAGUCCCGGUAUAUCCAUUAAAUCAGACUGAGAAGACCACUGGAAAAAGUGAGCGCAUGCAUGUGGCUCCCUAAGGGAAAGGCUGGCAGCCAUUGUAAAACUAGGCCUUGCCCCUGCGACUCCAGGCUGGGCAGGAGAGAGAAGAAGGCAGUGGAAGCCGAGAAGAGGGUUAGGUCUAAAGCACACGGAUUUGGGGCCAGCUAACUAUAAAACAUACACGGAAAUCCCCACCCCCACCCCAGGAAUAGCAGUGUAGUGUCUACCGACCCAGCUUCCCUGGUAGGAAAAGCUGCUGCUGCCGCCAACAGCCACAUCCAUCCUGCAGUCAUCCCUGGAGGAUGACACAUGCCAGGAAUCCUCAGAGAAGGGGCUGUGGGAGGGCAGGCUGGCUGGGGCUCUGAUUUCUUCUGGAACAGUGAAAUUGCUUUUUCCCUAAAAGGGAAACCCAGGCUUUCUGCCAUUCUGGUUGUCCAUUAUCUUUCCUCUAAAAAUGUCUCUAAGGCCAGGCACAGUGGCUCACACCUGUAACCCCAGCACUUCGAGAGGCCCAGGUGGGCAGAUCACUUGAGCCAGGAGUUUGAGACCAGCCUGGCCAACAUAGUGAAAACCCAUCUCUAC